UUGAUCCUGGCUCAGAAUCAACGCUGGCGGCGUGCCUCAGACAUGCAAGUCGAACGCGAAAGUCCCCUUCGGGGGAUAAGUAGAGUGGCGCACGGGUGAUUAACACGUAGGUAAUCUACCUUCGGGUGGGGAAUAACCCAGGGAAACUUUGGCUAACACCGCAUAAUGCAGCGGCACCACAUGGUGACAGUUGUUAAAGUGGGGGAUUUUCGGACCUCGCGCCUGAAGAGGAGCCUGCGGCAGAUUAGCUAGUUGGUAAGGUAACGGCUUACCAAGGCGACGAUCUGUAGCCGGCCUGAUAGGGCGGUCGGCCACACUGACACUGACAUACGGGUCAGACUCCUACGGGUGGCAGCAGUCGGGAAUUUUGGGCAAUGGGCGAAAGCCUGACCCAGCAACUCCGCGUGAAGGAUGAAAUCCCUCGGGAUGUAAACUACGCAAGAAUGGGAUGAAUUAGUAGGGGUUAAUACCCCCUAUGAUGACGGUACCAUUUGUAAGCUCCGGCUAACUCCGUGCCAGCAGCCGCGGUAAUAAGGGCGU
RNAcentral lists this ribosomal RNA (540 nucleotides) under uncultured Acidobacteriota bacterium. RNAcentral's name for it is "bacterial SSU rRNA". It matches the Rfam family "Bacterial small subunit ribosomal RNA", at positions 13 to 532 of the family's 1533-position model. The record is from RNAcentral. Lineage: Bacteria; Pseudomonadati; Acidobacteriota.